RNAcentral lists this long non-coding RNA (691 nucleotides) under Ovis aries (sheep). Its description in RNAcentral is "lncRNA (ENSOARG00000025839.1)". Lineage: Eukaryota; Metazoa; Chordata; Mammalia; Artiodactyla; Bovidae. The record is from RNAcentral.
AUUUGGGGCAAAGCAACACAGGAGAUUAUAUCCAAGUAAAUGACAAAUGAAAGUAGCUGAACCAUUCAGUACACCCUGUGGCUCAUUAUGCAGCCAAACGUAGCAGUACUGUCUCUCUUCUCUCUUUAAUCAUGUAGGUUGGAGUUUUCAAUAGGGCCAUAAGGGAUUUUAGAUCAAUCUAGUUUGAUCUCUUUAUUAUACAAAUGAGGCUCAGAAAGAUUAAGUGACUAGUUCAAAUCACAAAAGCAAUAAGAGGAAGAAUAGGGUCUUGAACUCUGCUCUCUCUGUUCUCAGCCCAGGGCUUCCCCUAUUCUUCUCCAAGACCUUUCUCCAGUAUUAUCAGCAUCACAAAUGCUGCCUGAGGGCUGAGAUCAAAGGUUGGCUCUCCCUUUGGUGUUGCAGACAGGGAGGGAUUCCAGUCCUGCCCAGACCUGCCUGGAGGUUGAGACUGGUACAAGGAAUUCUUGGAACCAAGGAUUGUGGUUGGAAGGCGAGUGUGUGGUAUGUGAAGAUACACCCCAAAAGGAGGCUGGAACCAUAAGGUGGGGCCCUCAACUGCCCUCAUCUUCCCCAAUGGCUCAGAUGGAACUUGAGGAAGUCUCAUAUCAUCUCCUGUGGACCGUGUGUCUUCAUGUGAAUGAUGUCUUCAUCAUAUUUGAAACCUGUUUGUGGCCCAUGAUGGAUUUUCUAU